This is a long non-coding RNA of Lutra lutra (Eurasian river otter), 375 nucleotides long. RefSeq lists it as uncharacterized. The transcript has 3 exons. Lineage: Eukaryota; Metazoa; Chordata; Mammalia; Carnivora; Mustelidae. The record is from RefSeq and is a predicted model, not a curated record.
GGUGCCCUCAGAGACUCCAUUUUAAGGCAACAAAAAAGGGAGAAUUAGACUGACCUGGCAUCUUAUUGGCAACAAAAUAGGAACUGAGUAAUCAGAACCAGUGGAAUGUCAGAGCCUGGCCAAGAAUGAAAAAUGGGAGGAUUUGAUGCCAAGAACCGUUGUCAGGGACUGGAAAACAUCACCUUCUUCAUCUGCCUGCCUGCAGAAGGAACUACAUUUAAAUUUGCUGAGCAGGAUGGAUCCUGCUAUAAAAAGGCUUUCCUGUAAGGAAUUGGAAGGCAAUAUGCAAAUCAGAGCUGGAGCGCAUGUCCUCAGUGCCUGCUCCCAGGGGUGGAAAAACAGGGAGAAGUUAGGUCCACUGUGCAGUGCAUUCUC